Molecule: non-coding RNA, 64 nt
Organism: Podarcis lilfordi (Lilford's wall lizard)
Lineage: Eukaryota; Metazoa; Chordata; Lepidosauria; Squamata; Lacertidae
Source: the annotation of a GenBank genome assembly
GAUAGCUCAAUUGGCAAAACACAAGACUGUUAAUCUUAGGGUUGUGGGUUCGAGUUCCGCACCA